GAUGAAGAACGUAGCGAAAUGCGAUAAGUAAUGUGAAUUGCAGAAUUCAGUGAAUCAUCGAAUCUUUGAACGCACAUUGCGCCCGCCAGUAUUCUGGCGGGCAUGCCUGUUCGAGCGUCAUUUCAACCAUCAAGCCCCAGGCUUGUGUUGGGGACCUGCGGCUGCCGCAGGCCCUGAAAACCAGUGGCGGGCUCGCUGUCACACCGGGCGUAGUAGAUUUUAUCUCGCUCAGGGCGUGCUGCGGGUGCCGGCCGUUAAAAAGCCUUUUUUACCCAAGGUUGACCUCGGAUCAGGUAGGAAGACACGCUGAACUUAAGCAUAUCAAUAAGCGGAGGA
RNAcentral lists this unclassified non-coding RNA (336 nucleotides) under soil metagenome. RNAcentral's name for it is "partial contains 5.8S ribosomal RNA, internal transcribed spacer 2, and large subunit ribosomal RNA". The stretch from base 1 to 120 matches the Rfam family "5.8S ribosomal RNA", at positions 35 to 154 of the family's 154-position model. The record is from RNAcentral.